GUCAAGUUAAUCACACCCCUUUGUCUUGAACAAGAUCCUAAUCAACUGAGGUUGGGGUUUACUAUUGUCUCUGGAAUGGCUACCUGUCUGGCACUCAGGGCCAGGAUGCCAGCGAGUAUCUCCCAUGCAAGAGGCUGCUGAGUAUGUGGUGUCAGGCUUGAGGAAUUAUGGCUGCCCACAUCCCAGACUCCCCCUUUGGUAGCCAUUCCUUUCCUGAGCACAACAAAGUUGGAAUGGUGCAAAUCCAUUUUUAUAUGGAGCAAUUUUUAUAUGACUUUCUAAAGUUUUCCCAUUGAGCCAGUGAAUUGUUACAUUUGGUAAUGUGCAGCAGAGGCCCUUUGAAUAGAGAUAGGGGGGAAAUACUGUAUGAUGAAGUCUUUUGUGGGGACAUUUGCAGGAGUCGGUGGGGUGUAUGAUGUCCGCUGGAGGGGCAACCCCCCCCCCAACCUUUCCAUAAAUUCCGUUAACACUGGCCAUACAAGAUCUUCAACAGAGGGCUUCCUGUAGGUGCCCUCGCCAUCUGAAAUAAGACAGGUGGUUUUCCAGAGGCAGGGCCUUCGUGGUGAUGGUGUCAGCUUUGUAACAUUCUCUCCAGAGGCACCUACCUGGCUGUCUUUUCAGUGCCACAAGGAAGCCCUUUUAACUCUGUUGCUUCCAUCCUAUGCCGAGGUUGAAUAUAUGUGUAAAUAAAACCAGAUAUCCUAAAUACCGUACAUCACAGUCUCUGUUGGCCUUCGUUUCAAAGAAACCAAACCCUGGUUGGGCACAGGCCUUUGUGGAAUCUCUCACCACUCAGAGAUUGGGGUGUACAGUACUGUCAGGUGGCAGAGGAACCAACCCAGGUUGCCAGGAACAGAUAAGACAAGGAAACGUCCUUACUGUCUGCUUUUAUUCAAUAUUUAGAGAGGCUUGGAAUGCAGCCUCUCAGAAUAAUAGCAUUGCCCCGAGUCAAUCUCCACCCCCUCUGUCUCUCCCAUUUCCCCAUGAGUCAUCACUGUUGUUCUUUAGUCGUUUGGUCGUGUCCGACUUUUCCUGACCCCAUAGACCAGAGCACGCCAGGCACUCCUGUCUUCCACUGCCUCCCGCAGUUUGGUGAAACUCAUGCUGGUAGCUUCGAGAACACUGUCCAACCAUCUCAUCCUCUGUCGUCCCCUUCUUCUUGUGCCCUCCAUCUUUCCCAACAUCAGGGUCUUUUCCAGGGAGUCUUCUCAUGAGGUGGCCAAAGUAUUGGAGCCUCAGCUUCAGGAUCUGUCCUUCCAGUGAGCACUCAGGGCUGAUUUCCUUCAGAAUGGAUAGGUUUGAUCUUCUUGCAAUCCAUGGGACUCUCAAGAGUCUCCUCCAGCUCCAUAAUUCAAAAGCAUCAAUUCUUCGGCGAUCAGCCUUCUUUAUGGUCCAGCUCUCACUUCCAUACAUCACUACUGGGAAAACCAUAGCUUCAUCACUACAGGUGCUGAAAAGUGCCCUCUGCCUUUGACCUCUUUGCUCUCCUACUUUCAAGGCCCGCUGUGUUCUGGGGGGGGGGGGGGUCUGGAAUGCUUUCUAAAGACACUGAGUCCAUCAGCUGUCACUCCCCUGGUACUGCUGCUUCCUCCUCCUUCUCCUCCUCCUCCUCCUUUCUCAUUAUUCCCCAGCUUUCCUCCUCAUCUUCCUCGGAGCCGUGACCUCCCUCAAACCCCUGCUGUAAUUCUGAACUGUCUUCUUCUUCUUCUUGGAAGGGUCAGGCUGGGGAUGCGGUCUCCACCAUUCCUCCUCUGCCCAGUCCCUGACAAGUACAAUCUGUAGAAGAUAUGAUCAGAAAUAACAGGAAAACUGCAACUCUACGAAAUCAAAUCACAGCCUUCUUCUCCUGCUUUGUUUUCAGAGCUAUUCCCUUACAAGGGAAUAGUGAUUUCAUAACUGAGCAUAUGCACAGCACUUGGUAAGCUAAUUUCCCCCCAUUAUUUUAUUUUAUUUUAUUUUUUCACCGAAACAAAAUGGAUCCCAUCCAAAAUGCAGUCCUACUAAUUGGAAGUCCAUAAGAAGAAGCCACUUUUUGGGGCCAUGGCAGUUCGCCCUGUUGCCCGCUGACAACGUCAGACGUGCAUUUUAGCCCUGCACUUCUCUUUACUUAAAUCCAAGCUUAUUCCCAUUGAUUCUAGGGGCCACUCCACACAACAGAGCCAGGCAACCGUCUUGUUAUAUGGCACUACAGUGGUACCUCGGGUUACAUACGCUUCAGGUUACAUACGCUUCAGGUUACAGACUCUGCUAACCCAGAAAUAGUGCUUCAGGUUAAGAACUUUGCUUCAGGAUGAGAACAGAAAUUGUGCUCCGGCGGUGCGGUGGCAGCAGGAGGCCCCAUUAGCUAAAGUGGUGCUUCAGGUUAAGAACAGUUUCAGGUUAAGUACGGAUCUCCGGAACGAAUUAAGUACUUAACCCGAGGUACCACUGUACUAUCUGAUUUUGCUGCAGUGCAAAUUGGAGGGCAAAUUCAGACCGGCCGUGUUUCCCUUAUUUAAUGCAACAGAGUACUUUAUGAUCUUUAUGGCUCUAACCCUGGCAGCUCCCAUAGCUGUUAGUAAGCUUUUGUGUGGACUCAGGGGGAGUCAUGAUUGUUUUUCUUUGACCACCUGCCCAUCCUUCCCUCCCUUGUGCUGUGUUUCAAACUGCUCUCAUUUUCAGAAGUAGCUUUCUGGAACAUAGGAAGCUGCCUGGUACUAAGCCACUGGUGCACUUAGUUCAGUUCUGUCUACUUUGCCUGGUAGCAGUUCUCCCGGGUUUCAGGCAGGGGACAAUCCCAUCUUUGCCUGGAAAUGCUGGAAAUUGACCUUGAGGCUUUCUGCAUCCUAGACCAAGACUCUACAACUGAGC
Molecule: non-coding RNA, 2850 nt
Organism: Podarcis lilfordi (Lilford's wall lizard)
Lineage: Eukaryota; Metazoa; Chordata; Lepidosauria; Squamata; Lacertidae
Source: the annotation of a GenBank genome assembly